RNAcentral lists this ribosomal RNA (231 nucleotides) under uncultured bacterium. RNAcentral describes it as "partial 16S ribosomal RNA". It matches the Rfam family "Bacterial small subunit ribosomal RNA", at positions 118 to 347 of the family's 1533-position model. The record is from RNAcentral.
UGAGCAAUCUGCCCUUCUCAUCGGAAUAAGCGUUGGAAACGACGUCUAAUGCCGAAUACGACCUCCUUUCACAUGAUCGGAGGUGGAAAGCUCCGGCGGAGAAGGAUGAGCUCGCGGCCUAUCAGCUAGUUGGUGUGGGUAACGCCCACCAAGGCGACGACGGGUAGCCGGCCUGAGAGGAUGACCGGCCACACUGGGACUGAGACACGGCCCAGACUCCUACGGGAGCAG